UACCAGCACCCCGAGUGGUCGGGACGAUUAUUGGGCCUAAAGCAUCCGUAGCCGGUCCUGCAAGUCUUCAGUUAAAUCCAGCUGCUCAACAGAUGGGCUGCGGGGGAUACUACAGGGCUAGGAGGCGGGAGAGGCAAGCGGUACUUUAUGGGUAGGGGUAAAAUCCGUUGAUCCAUAGAAGACCACCAGUGGCGAAGGCGGCUUGCCAGAACGCGCUCGACGGUGAGGGAUGAAAGCUGGGGGAGCAAACCGG
This 253-nucleotide ribosomal RNA is filed under the name uncultured bacterium. Its description in RNAcentral is "partial 16S ribosomal RNA". It matches the Rfam family "Archaeal small subunit ribosomal RNA", at positions 474 to 727 of the family's 1478-position model. The record is from RNAcentral.